AUAAAUGACCAAGUGGAUGAAGCAGCCACACUCUCACCGGUCCAGAUAUUCCUCAAAGAAGAGGAAGGUGCGUAUUGUAAGGCAGAAGAGCCUGUGCUGGUCUCACUUGUCCCAGUGCUUCUCAAAGAAGAACAUGUGCUUGAUGAAUCGCCGGAGGACUUUGAAGUUGGCAGUCACC
This is a long non-coding RNA of Schistocerca nitens (vagrant locust), 178 nucleotides long. RefSeq lists it as uncharacterized. The record is from RefSeq and is a predicted model, not a curated record. The transcript has 3 exons. NCBI's taxonomy places the organism in Eukaryota, Metazoa, Arthropoda, Insecta, Orthoptera, Acrididae.